CCUACGGGGCGCAGCAGUAGGGAAUCUUCCACGAUGGACGAAAGUCUGAUGGAGCAACGCCGCGUGAGUGAAGAAGGGUUUCGGCUCGUAAAGCUCUGUUGGUAGUGAAGAAAGAUAGAGGUAGUAACUGGCCUUUAUUUGACGGUAAUUACUUAGAAAGUCACGGCUAACUACGUGCCAGCAGCCGCGGUAAUACGUAGGUGGCAAGCGUUGUCCGGAUUUAUUGGACGUAAAGCGAGUGCAGGCGGGUUAAUAAGUCUGAUUGUGAAGCC
This 272-nucleotide ribosomal RNA is filed under the name uncultured bacterium. Its description in RNAcentral is "partial 16S ribosomal RNA". It matches the Rfam family "Bacterial small subunit ribosomal RNA", at positions 338 to 602 of the family's 1533-position model. The record is from RNAcentral.